Limulus polyphemus (Atlantic horseshoe crab) is the source of this 1524-nucleotide long non-coding RNA. RefSeq lists it as uncharacterized. The transcript has 3 exons. The record is from RefSeq and is a predicted model, not a curated record. NCBI's taxonomy places the organism in Eukaryota, Metazoa, Arthropoda, Merostomata, Xiphosura, Limulidae.
UUCGCUGUAGGGAUAGGAUCGCUUCUUAUUCCACUAGCCUCGUUUUUAAUCAGUUCAUUGCAAAGUUUGAAUGCAAAUACAGCAGCUACAGCUGCAGCUACAACUGCAACUCAAGCUAAUGCUGGAACUGCAGGUAACCAAGGGCAAGGACAAGGUGGUGGCACCGGAAGAAGAAAACGCAAUGCCCAUUAUCAGCCGUGGUCAGAUCGCUUCAUAACGGCACUCGAAGUGUUAGAUCUCGCAUUACAAAAGAACUAUGCACGUUGAAGCUCGAGAGAUUUUAACACGCCGUGAGAGUCUUAAAACUAUAGUCUUGCAGAUGUUACAAACUCCAAUACUUUCCUCAAACACGAACAGCAAUGUCAACAGUAGCUGACACUGAAGACGAUGGAUAGUUAAUACACUUUUAGUGUCCAGUGAUGCGUUGGCUCGAACUCGUUUGUAAUGCAUCAUCGACUUUAGCCAUAAGCUCUAUAAACUGUCGAGGGACUGUGGUAGAGAAUAAGUUGUGCUCUGACCUUUUAUUCGCCGGGAAAAAUGGUAUAUUAUAUCCUCCAAACCCUCCAGGUCUACCAAAGCUACCAAAGGCAAGUCCAAUAAGAGGAAUGAAGAUAAUACUUAGCGCCAACAAUAAAAUCGUUGGAAUGAUGAUGGAAGUUAAAGAUGUAUUCCCCAUAAGAUUAGUUGUACCGGUUUGUCUCUCUACGUUUGUAUUUCCUCUAAUAUCUUCAGUAAGUACGAUCUGAAGACAACCUGCUGCAACAGCUACAAGUAUCAAAAGUUUUAAUAGUGACAUUUCAAAACGUUAUCUAUACGAGGAACAAAUUAUCUGGAGUAAAUGGCUUAUAUAUUCUAUAAGACACUAUCUAAAGUUUUUGAAUCAGAGUUCCAUAUGUAUACCUAUAGGCUUAAUGAAAUUACAUCGCAUAAUGCUAUGCUUUUAUAGUUGAAAGAAACAAAUGAUCUCGAUUUAAGAUAAAUUGUACAUUGCAACUAGAAAGUUAAAUUAGGUCAUUUGAGACAACCACGGAUAUCCUUUUCUUUAUUGCCAUUUUGCUUUUAGAAGUUAGAGAAAGAAGUUCUUUCUUCCAAAACUGUAAACGUGGUCACUCAAGCCAUACACUGUGCCUUCCUAAUUCAUCAGCAACUUCAACUGUGGAAAACGGAAACAACUAGAGCAUAUAGUUCCAUGCAGACAAAUACUUCCAAUGUCAAUGACAAGCAUGCCACUUCAGUUUGGAGUUGAUCCUACUCCAUCUACAUACGUCGUUAAUGUGUCGUAGUAUUCUGAAAUGAUCCCGAUAAGUAAAGUUGAACAAAUUCACACGUUUUUACACCAGGUCAAUAAAUUGUAUGUACUCUGUUACGAGGUUUUAUGCAAAGAAAUGUUCGCAAAUGUGUGUUUCAAAGCAAAUCAGGUCUAACGUCUGUAAAUAUUCCACUUCGAAAAUUGCGUGUUAUUUAUCGGUUUAGCAUAGACAACUAAAUAAAGCUUCUUAUCUGUUGAAUACACAAAACUGUCCA